RNAcentral lists this transfer RNA (72 nucleotides) under Camelus bactrianus (Bactrian camel). It matches the Rfam family "tRNA". Rfam says of the family: Transfer RNA (tRNA) molecules are approximately 80 nucleotides in length. Their secondary structure includes four short double-helical elements and three loops (D, anti-codon, and T loops). Further hydrogen bonds mediate the characteristic L-shaped molecular structure. tRNAs have two regions of fundamental functional importance: the anti-codon, which is responsible for specific mRNA codon recognition, and the 3' end, to which the tRNAs corresponding amino acid is attached (by aminoacyl-tRNA synthetases). tRNAs cope with the degeneracy of the genetic code in two manners: having more than one tRNA (with a specific anti-codon) for a particular amino acid; and 'wobble' base-pairing, i.e. permitting non-standard base-pairing at the 3rd anti-codon position. RNAcentral also lists the same sequence under 1 other name. The record is from Rfam by way of RNAcentral. Lineage: Eukaryota; Metazoa; Chordata; Mammalia; Artiodactyla; Camelidae.
GGGUAUAUAGCUCACUGGUAGAGUGCAUACUUAGCAUGCAUGAGGUCCUGGGUUUAAUACCCUGUACCUCCA